AACGAACGCUGGCGGCAUGCCUAACACAUGCAAGUCGAACGAGACCUUCGGGUCUAGUGGCGCACGGGUGCGUAACGCGUGGGAACCUGCCCUUAGGUUCGGAAUAACUCCCCGAAAGGGGUGCUAAUACCGGAUAAUGUCUUCGGACCAAAGAUUUAUCGCCUUUGGAUGGGCCCGCGUUGGAUUAGCUAGUUGGUAGGGUAAAAGCCUACCAAGGCGACGAUCCAUAGCUGGUCUGAGAGGAUGAUCAGCCACACUGGGACUGAGACACGGCCCAGACUCCUACGGGAGGCAGCAGUGGGGAAUAUUGGACGAUGGGCGAAAGCCUGAUCCAGCAAUGCCGCGUGAGUGAUGAAGGCCUUAGGGUUGUAAAGCUCUUUUACACGGGAUGAUAAUGACAGUACCGGGAGAAUAAGCUCCGGCUAACUCCGUG
This 433-nucleotide ribosomal RNA is filed under the name uncultured bacterium. RNAcentral's name for it is "partial 16S ribosomal RNA". It matches the Rfam family "Bacterial small subunit ribosomal RNA", at positions 29 to 507 of the family's 1533-position model. The record is from RNAcentral.